This 5725-nucleotide long non-coding RNA is filed under the name Homo sapiens (human). RNAcentral describes it as "non-protein coding lnc-MARF1-2:2". Lineage: Eukaryota; Metazoa; Chordata; Mammalia; Primates; Hominidae. The record is from RNAcentral.
GAGAUCGAGAACCUCACCCAGCAGUACGAGGAGAAGGCGGCCGCUUAUGAUAAACUGGAAAAGACCAAGAACAGGCUUCAGCAGGAGCUGGACGACCUGGUUGUUGAUUUGGACAACCAGCGGCAACUCGUGUCCAACCUGGAAAAGAAGCAGAGGAAAUUUGAUCAGUUGUUAGCCGAGGAGAAAAACAUCUCUUCCAAAUACGCGGAUGAGAGGGACAGAGCUGAGGCAGAAGCCAGGGAGAAGGAAACCAAGGCCCUGUCCCUGGCUCGGGCCCUUGAAGAGGCCUUGGAAGCCAAAGAGGAACUCGAGCGGACCAACAAAAUGCUCAAAGCCGAAAUGGAAGACCUGGUCAGCUCCAAGGAUGACGUGGGCAAGAACGUAAGUGGCUCUGGGUGGUUUUUCUCGUCCAUGUUUCGCCUGCCCACCCUCUGUGCUAUUCACCAGUCCAUGCGAGGCUAGCUCCUGGCCUUUUUCAUAGCGAACUAUCAUCGGAAAUGGAAGGAGGUUUUUGGACUGGUGCAGGGGCUGGGAGGGGCUGAGAAUGGCAGUCGAGGAUGGGUCUGAGUUGGGGGGUCCGAGGAUAAGGCUGGGGUCUGAACUCUCAGGGGUCAUCUUGAGUCCCGGCCAUGCAUCCUGUGGGAGGCCAAAGCCACCUCCCUGAUCUCCUGAGGUGCCGCUCACGGUGGGUUUCUCAAUCGUCUUCAUGAAGUUGAGCCUCAUAGAAUGGGGCUGCCCGCUCUGCCGGCAGGUCCAUGAGCUGGAGAAGUCCAAGCGGGCCCUGGAGACCCAGAUGGAGGAGAUGAAGACGCAGCUGGAAGAGCUGGAGGACGAGCUGCAAGCCACGGAGGACGCCAAACUGCGGCUGGAAGUCAACAUGCAGGCGCUCAAGGGCCAGUUCGAAAGGGAUCUCCAAGCCCGGGACGAGCAGAAUGAGGAGAAGAGGAGGCAACUGCAGAGACAGCUUCACGAGUAUGAGACGGAACUGGAAGACGAGCGAAAGCAACGUGCCCUGGCAGCUGCAGCAAAGAAGAAGCUGGAAGGGGACCUGAAAGACCUGGAGCUUCAGGCCGACUCUGCCAUCAAGGGGAGGGAGGAAGCCAUCAAGCAGCUACGCAAACUGCAGGCUCAGAUGAAGGACUUUCAAAGAGAGCUGGAAGAUGCCCGUGCCUCCAGAGAUGAGAUCUUUGCCACAGCCAAAGAGAAUGAGAAGAAAGCCAAGAGCUUGGAAGCAGACCUCAUGCAGCUACAAGAGGACCUCGCCGCCGCUGAGAGGGCUCGCAAACAAGCGGACCUCGAGAAGGAGGAACUGGCAGAGGAGCUGGCCAGUAGCCUGUCGGGAAGGUAGGAAACUGAAUGGAGGAAGAGGGCUCUGAAGCAGAGGAUGGGGGGACAGGCAGCAUCCUCGACCCCCAUUUUAUUUUUUAAAUUUUUUCGAGACAGAGUUUCAUUCUGUCACCCAGGCUGGAGGGCAGUGGCACAAUCUUGGCUCACUGCAACCUCCACCUCCCAGGUUCAAGCAAUUCUCCUGCCUCAGCCUUCUGAGUAGCUGAGACUACAGGUGUGUACCACCAUGCCUGGCUAAUUUUUAUAUUUUUAGUAGAGGUGGGGUUUCACCAUGUUGGCCAGGCUAGUCUUGAACUCCUGACCUUAGGUGAUCCUCCUACCUUGGCCUCCCAAAGUGCUGUGAUUACAGGUGUGAGCCACCGUGCCUGGCCCUGGACCCCCAUUUCAAUGCUGCUGCUGACGAAGCGUCCUCUGAGAUUGGGGACAGACCCAUGGUGGUUAGGUUUUCCGUCAGCGCUUUCAUGCCUGUUUGGGGGUGUGGCUGCUUUCAUUCAUUCCCAAUAAGUAGCUGUGUGGGGAGAAGGGGAGGCCAGGAAGAGUCAGGGAGGAGUGUGCUGGUCCCCAUCCCAAUCCCAGCUUUGCUGACACGGACCCGGCCUGAGUCCCGGCUGUCCACUUCCUGGCUGUGUAACUACAGAUGAGUCUUCUAAUCUUCUCCAAGCCUCAGUUUCACCCAUUAGAUGAUGAGGGCAAUACCCCUGAGGCAUGACUCCAAGGAGGGGGCAUCUUUUAAGGCGGGGGAGGGUAGAGGCCCCCACCAUGGCCGCCCUUCCCCCAGGAACGCACUCCAGGACGAGAAGCGCCGCCUGGAGGCCCGGAUCGCCCAGCUGGAGGAGGAGCUGGAGGAGGAGCAGGGCAACAUGGAGGCCAUGAGCGACCGGGUCCGCAAAGCCACACAGCAGGUGAGGGCCGCCUGGACACCACAGUCACGCUGCCUACUGUCUCUCCUGCAGCAGGAUCCUGCACCAGUCAACACACGCGUGGCGGCUUCCUGUGUGCAGGCCCUGGAUUGAGGGACAAGAGGGUGGUGGGGCCUGAGAGUAGAGAUCCAGGGCCCUUACACCAGUGCCCAGGCUGCUGUCUUCAGAAUACUCCUCUCCACGCUGCAGUGUCUCAUUUUCCAGCCACGGCGUGGCUGGCUCCCCGUACCUCACGGCCAUCCCUGGAGUCCGGGCCUUGGGAUGCUCUUUCAUUGCGUUUUCCCCUAGCUGAAGCUCUGACCUUAUCCAGUGAGCCCUUGGUGAUGUCACUGAGCACUAGUUCCAUGGUGGGCACUAGGGACCAUCCAGUAACCUGCAGCCCCUUGUGGUGUAGGGUGAACAGGCAUCAUUCUCCAGGCGACUCCAGGACAGAGAAAGCAAGGGACAAGUCACUCGCUCAGCCUGGGUGGCACUGACACUUGUGGAAGCACCUCUUUUUUUUGGAGACAGGGUCUCUCUGUGGCCCAGGCUGGAGUGCAGUGGCGCAAUCUUGGCUCACUGCAACCUCUGCCUCCCAAGUUCAAGGGAUUCUCCUGCUUCAACCUCCCAAGUAGCUGGGACUACAGGCACGUGCCACCACUGCCCGGCUAAUUUUUGUAUUUUUAAUAGAGACGGGGUUUCACCAUGUUGGCCAGGCAGGUCUCGAACUCCUGAGCUCAAGUGAUUUACCUGCCUCUGCUUCCAAAAGUGCUGGGAUUACAGGCGUGCGCCACCACGCCCGGCCUGGAAGAAGCUCUUGAGUGGAGUUUUACAGGAUGAAGGAGAGGACAGGGUGCCCGGGAUCAAGGGACUCGUGCAGAGGCCAAACAAGGCAGGAAGAGGCAUGGUCUCAGUGCGCUCUCUUGGGCUUCCCUGAGUCCGCCUCAUGGCCUUCACUCUCCUCCCCAGGCCGAGCAGCUCAGCAACGAGCUGGCCACAGAGCGCAGCACGGCCCAGAAGAAUGAGAGUGCCCGGCAGCAGCUCGAGCGGCAGAACAAGGAGCUCCGGAGCAAGCUCCACGAGAUGGAGGGGGCCGUCAAGUCCAAGUUCAAGUCCACCAUCGCGGCGCUGGAGGCCAAGAUUGCACAGCUGGAGGAGCAGGUCGAGCAGGAGGCCAGAGAGAAACAGGCGGCCACCAAGUCGCUGAAGCAGAAAGACAAGAAGCUGAAGGAAAUCUUGCUGCAGGUGGAGGACGAGCGCAAGAUGGCCGAGCAGUACAAGGAGCAGGCAGAGAAAGGCAAUGCCAGGGUCAAGCAGCUCAAGAGGCAGCUGGAGGAGGCAGAGGAGGAGUCCCAGCGCAUCAACGCCAACCGCAGGAAGCUGCAGCGGGAGCUGGAUGAGGCCACGGAGAGCAACGAGGCCAUGGGCCGCGAGGUGAACGCACUCAAGAGCAAGCUCAGGUGAGGAGCCCGUGGCCCGGGAGGACCCCGUCUCUCAGGCCAGAGAAAAGCACUGGGGGCUCGGGCUCCUUUCGGCCUGCAAAUGCCCCUUGUGCCCACAGCCGCCACUCCCUUCUGUGGUUUAUUCCUGCUUCUCCUUAAUCACUAAGCUUAGUGUGGGCCAGGCACUGAGAUCAGACCCGGGCCCUGCCUUGCCUGGUAGCAGCUAACCUUCUAGAUCCUUUAACGAUCGACCGUCUCCCAUCCGGUCCUCCGGCUGAGGAGGAGGAAGAGGCUAUCCCCACUGUCUCCUCCAGCCCCUCCUUCAUUGCAUCACUGAGUCUUCACGACAUCCAUUGAAGCUGCAACACCACCCCCCGCCACUUCACCUCCUUCCUGACAUGCUCUGCUCCUCCUUUCUCCCCCUCAGCACUGCUGCCAUCUGGGCUGCAUUAUUCUCGGGUAUGGGGGCUGUCCGACAUUCCCCAUCAGAAGGAAAAAGAUCCCUGAAAAGUAGCAGGUGCUUACAUUUCUGGCCUCUACCCACCGGCUGCAGUAGUCCCCCACCACCCUGCAAUGUGACAACCAAAAAUGUCUCUAGAUGUUGCCAGAAGUCCUCUAGAGAUGGGAGGGUACGACUGCCACCCCGCUGAGAAUUCCUGCUGUCACUGGAGUGGGGGCUGUUUUCUCUCCCAUGCCUCUGGUACCUUGGGGGUCCCCCCUGCUCCCAAGGGCUGCUUCCACCACCCUGUCCAUCCAUCCCGAUUGGCUCCCAGGAGGUUUUAGCUCCGGGCUUCCUGUCUCCCACACCACUCCUCACAGUUCUCCAUGAUUUCAACAUCCAGGUGGGCGACGCAGCCUCUCGGUUCCUUGACCCUCUGGGUGAUCCUGCUGCUUCUACCGGGCCAACCAGUACUCCUAGGAGCCCUCACAAUUUGACCCUCAGGCAUCCCAUUGUCUGCCUGGUGCCACCUUUCUUUGGCUCUGUCCCCAACGGGGUCUUCACUCCAUUAAUGCCAUCAGCCUCUGACCCAGCUCCAAACCAGCUGUCUAGUAACCCCCGUCGCGCAUCCUCAACAUCCGGUUCCCCCUCUUGCAUUGCUGCAAUCAUUUGGUGAAAGCACAACCCAAAUGAAACUCAAGCUUGGCUGGGCACGGGACUCACACCUAUAAUCCCAGCACUUUGGGAGGCCAAGGCAGGUGAAUCGCUUUGAGCUCAGGAGUUCAAGAGCAGCAAGACCCCAUCUCUACAACAAACAAACAAAAAUCAGCCAGGUGGGAUGGCGCAAACCUAAAAUCCCAGCUACUCAGGAGGCUGAGGUGGGACGAUCAGUGGAGCCCCAGAGGUCAAGGCUGCAGUGAGCCAUGAUCUAGCCAAUGCACUUACCCUGGAUGGACAGAGUGAGACCCUGUCUCAAAAAACCCAAAACCCACUCUCCACCUUUUCCCACAGAGCAGGCCUUGCUCAGGGGUCCUCCCACACCCCUCCCUCAUCUUCUCACUCUCUGCUGCUUUUCACUUUUUCUUUGAACUUAUGAUCGCUCCUCCCCAUUCUCUCUCAGCUGGGGACCUUACUUCCUACUUAACUCAAAAGCAGAAAUGAUCAUGAAACGUGCACAAGCUCCCACUGCCUCAUCAUCCUACCUCCGUGCACCUCUGUACACUUCUAUUUUUUUUCCAUUUCUAUGCUGAACCCUCUGGCACCAACCGAGGCCAACACCUCCAUUGGACCCGACCCUCUUGUUCACUCAAGCACAUAGCUCCAAAAAUCCUUAUUUUGCAAGGUUUUCUCUUUCAUUUGCUCCAUCAGCAAAUGGAAUAACCUCUUAGCCCCAUGUCUACCUUGCUACCCUUACUACAAAACUGGAUGUGAAUGCCGAAACCCUGUCUCUACCAAAAAAUAUAAAAAUUAGCCAGGUGUGGUGGUGCAUGCCUAUAGUUCCAGCUACUCAGGAGGCUGAGGCACAAGAAUGGCUUAAAACCGGGAGAGAGAGGUUGCAGUCCAGCCUGGGUGACAGAGUGAGACUCGGUCUCAAAAAA